Molecule: ribosomal RNA, 254 nt
Filed under: uncultured bacterium
Lineage: Bacteria
Description: partial 16S ribosomal RNA
Rfam family: Bacterial small subunit ribosomal RNA
Source: RNAcentral
UACGGAGGGUGCAAGCGUUAUCCGGAUUCACUGGGUUUAAAGGGUGCGUAGGCGGGCAGGUAAGUCCGUGGUGAAAUCUCUGAGCUUAACUCAGAAACUGCCAUGGAUACUAUUUGUCUUGAAUAUUGUGGAGGUAAGCGGAAUAUGUCAUGUAGCGGUGAAAUGCUUAGAUAUGACAUAGAACACCAAUUGCGAAGGCAGCUUACUAACACAGUUAUUGACGCUGAGGCACGAAAGCGUGGGGAUCAAACAGG